Molecule: ribosomal RNA, 493 nt
Filed under: uncultured bacterium
Lineage: Bacteria
Description: partial 16S ribosomal RNA
Rfam family: Bacterial small subunit ribosomal RNA
Source: RNAcentral
GAUUGAACGCUGGCGGCAUGCUUUACACAUGCAAGUCGAACGGUAACAGGCCUUCGGGUGCUGACGGGUGGCGAACGGGUGAGUAAUGCAUCGGAACGUACCCAGAGGUGGGGGAUAACGCAGCGAAAGCUGUGCUAAUACCGCAUGUGAUCUGAGGAUGAAAGCGGGGGACCGAGCAGCAAUGUUUGGCCUCGCGCCUUUGAAGCGGCCGAUGUCGGAUUAGCUAGUUGGUGGGGUAAAGGCCUACCAAGGCGACGAUCCGUAGCUGGUCUGAGAGGACGACCAGCCACACUGGGACUGAGACACGGCCCAGACUCCUACGGGAGGCAGCAGUGGGGAAUUUUGGACAAUGGGCGCAAGCCUGAUCCAGCAAUGCCGCGUGCGGGAAGAAGGCCUUCGGGUUGUAAACCGCUUUUGGCAGGAACGAAACGGUGUCCGCUAAUACCGGGCGCUAAUGACGGUACCUGCAGAAUAAGCACCGGCUAACUACGUG